This is a long non-coding RNA of Pogoniulus pusillus (Red-fronted tinkerbird), 1147 nucleotides long. RefSeq lists it as uncharacterized. Lineage: Eukaryota; Metazoa; Chordata; Aves; Piciformes; Lybiidae. The transcript has 2 exons. The record is from RefSeq and is a predicted model, not a curated record.
UGGAGAGAGGCCAACCUUCCAGUGCUGUGGUAUCCUGCAUAACACAUACUCAACUCCCUUGAGUAUGGUGGUGCAGCCUGCAGAAGGACUUGAACUUCUUGGUAUCACAGCCUAAGUCACAGAGUUGGAAAUCCAGUUGGAAAGUAAUAAAUGGCCAAGUUCUGCAUCAGAAGAAGCUGUUUUGACAAAACAAAGCAUUGGGGACUUGAUUUUUGUUUGACAACUGGUGACAGAACCACUCUGGGGAAGUAAACAUGACUGAAAUGAUAUAUUGCAAGUAAUUUUCAGCAAUGCCCUGGCACUGACAAAACAUAGUAAUCAGUGGCCCACAGGUCUGUUGUAUGCAACUCUUAAAGCACCUGCCUGUGAGACUGUGCUCAUUCCUCAGGAGACUAAGCCACCACAAAGACUGCCAUCUCUUCCAGCUGUUUGGAGGUUGAAGGCUGUGGCUGGACAUAUAGUGUCCAGGGUCCUUAGAACUCAUGGUAGCCUCACCUCACCAAACCACCCAACAGCUGGCUCUCAGAGGAACCCCAUGGACACAUCCACACAUGGAGGUGACUUCAUUUAGUGGUUUGUUAAAAGCCUUCGUGCUGCUGGUGGUGGAGUAUUUCUGUCAUUUACUAUGCAUACACCAUCCUGACUGGCCAAAGUGACCUUUUAGGAAAAUAAAUAUUGGGGGUCCUUGUCCUUUGUCAGUGCUGGAUCUAAGAGAAAACAGGAAGAUAGCAAUACAAGAAAAUAAUUUGCCCAACGACCACAUCAAACAACCCAUUAUUUUUUGUAGUUCUUUCAAAAGGAGAGUGCUGGGGUUUGAACAGGAUUGAGCAGAACUGAAUAGUCUGAGAAAACAAGGGGAGUAGGCAGAGUAAGACUUAGGUCAUUCUGAUAAGGUGGCACAGCUGCAGAAAAGUGGCCUUAGGAGGCUAGCAGAGAAGCUGAGAAAGUUCUGAGCUGUGCAAAGAGGGCAGGCUGGUUAGCCCUGGGAACAAGCAAAUGUUGUGGCUAGCUGCGCAAAGGGGAUUUAAGAGGGGUAGUUGGUCAGGUCUGUCUCUGUGUGUGUGGACAGCCCAUACUCUGCUUUGUAAGCCUAUCAGAAGUACACACCCCUGGCUUCAAUAAACGGGUUGACCACCUAUGUACCAUA